This 465-nucleotide ribosomal RNA is filed under the name Vreelandella stevensii. RNAcentral's name for it is "partial 16S ribosomal RNA". It matches the Rfam family "Bacterial small subunit ribosomal RNA", at positions 338 to 795 of the family's 1533-position model. The record is from RNAcentral. Lineage: Bacteria; Pseudomonadati; Pseudomonadota; Gammaproteobacteria; Oceanospirillales; Halomonadaceae.
CCUACGGGGGGCAGCAGUGGGGAAUAUUGGACAAUGGGGGCAACCCUGAUCCAGCCAUGCCGCGUGUGUGAAGAAGGCCCUCGGGUUGUAAAGCACUUUCAGUGAGGAAGAACGCCUGGUGGUUAAUACCCAUCAGGAAAGACAUCACUCACAGAAGAAGCACCGGCUAACUCCGUGCCAGCAGCCGCGGUAAUACGGAGGGUGCGAGCGUUAAUCGGAAUUACUGGGCGUAAAGCGCGCGUAGGUGGCUUGAUAAGCCGGUUGUGAAAGCCCCGGGCUCAACCUGGGAACGGCAUCCGGAACUGUCAAGCUAGAGUGCAGGAGAGGAAGGUAGAAUUCCCGGUGUAGCGGUGAAGUGCGUAGAGAUCGGGAGGAAUACCAGUGGCGAAGGCGGUCUUCUGGACUGACACUGACACUGAGGUGCGAAAGCGUGGGUAGCAAACAGGAUUAGAUACCCGUGUAGUC